GUUUAGUAUUUGGUCGUAGACCCGAAACCAGGUGAUCUACCCUUGGUCAGGUUGAAGUUCAGGUAACACUGAAUGGAGGACCGAACCGACUUACGUUGAAAAGUGAGCGGAUGAACUGAGGGUAGCGGAGAAAUUCCAAUCGAACCUGGAGAUAGCUGGUUCUCUCCGAAAUAGCUUUAGGGCUAGCCUCAAGUGAUGAUUAUUGGAGGUAGAGCACUGUUUGGACGAGGGGCCCCUCUCGGGUUACCGAAUUCAGACAAACUCCGAAUGCCAAUUAAUUUAACUUGGGAGUCAGAACAUGGGUGAUAAGGUCCGUGUUCGAAAGGGAAACAGCCCAGACCACCAGCUAAGGUCCCAAAAUAUAUGUUAAGUGGAAAAGGAUGUGGCGUUGCCCAGACAACUAGGAUGUUGGCUUAGAAGCAGCCAUCAUUUAAAGAGUGCGUAAUAGCUCACUAGUCGAGUGACACUGCGCCGAAAAUGUACCGGGGCUAAACAUAUUACCGAAGCUGUGGAUUGUCCUUUGGACAAUGGUAGGAGAGCGUUCUAAGGGCGUUGAAGCAUGAUCGUAAGGACAUGUGGAGCGCUUAGAAGUGAGAAUGCCGGUGUGAGUAGCGAAAGACGGGUGAGAAUCCCGUCCACCGAUUGACUAAG
RNAcentral lists this ribosomal RNA (651 nucleotides) under Staphylococcus aureus. RNAcentral's name for it is "partial 23S ribosomal RNA". It matches the Rfam family "Bacterial large subunit ribosomal RNA", at positions 694 to 1349 of the family's 2925-position model. The record is from RNAcentral. Lineage: Bacteria; Bacillati; Bacillota; Bacilli; Caryophanales; Staphylococcaceae.